This 258-nucleotide ribosomal RNA is filed under the name uncultured bacterium. Its description in RNAcentral is "partial 16S ribosomal RNA". It matches the Rfam family "Bacterial small subunit ribosomal RNA", at positions 96 to 354 of the family's 1533-position model. The record is from RNAcentral.
UGGCGGACGGGUGAGUAACGCGUGGGCAACCUACCCCACACAGGGGGACAACAGUUGGAAACGACUGCUAAUACCGCAUAGGCGCACAGCUUCGCAUGAAGCAGUGUGGAAAACCGAGGUGGUGUGGGAUGGGCCCGCGUCUGAUUAGCUAGUUGGCGGGGUAACGGCCCACCAAGGCGACGAUCAGUAGCCGGCCUGAGAGGGUGGACGGCCACAUUGGGACUGAGACACGGCCCAAACUCCUACGGAAGGCAGCAG